CAACGUUGCCAAACGUACGAUAAUUAUUUGAACGAUGCCCUAACAAUACUUGUAAACCUCCUAAUGUAUGAGGAUUUACCUGUUCAAUAUAUGGAUAUUGGCAAACAAAGGAUACACCCACUGUUUACUCCGAGUAGCAGAGUGUCCAAUCUAAGCAACGUCGUCGUCAACUUGGACUCACAGGCAAGACGGAGCUGCUUGUGAGGGCUGUGAGAUGGGAUGGUGGUCCACAGCAAGACCCGCUUCUCGUUGAGAAGAGCGAUUGGUGAUUUCAUGUUAGAUUCUCCAAAAGGGUCAAAUUAGACCCGAAAAAGUUGCUAGAUUUGUUGCUAGUCGCUUUUUGGGAUAAACAAUCUUCAGGGGUCAAAAUACUUAUUAAAUAAUAUAGCAUUAAAGGCAACACUUUUGUGUUACCUCCUUCCUGCUACGUCUUCUUACUCUCUGA
Entelurus aequoreus (snake pipefish) is the source of this 445-nucleotide long non-coding RNA. RefSeq lists it as uncharacterized. The transcript is spliced from 3 exons. The record is from RefSeq and is a predicted model, not a curated record. NCBI's taxonomy places the organism in Eukaryota, Metazoa, Chordata, Actinopteri, Syngnathiformes, Syngnathidae.